This 353-nucleotide ribosomal RNA is filed under the name uncultured Racocetra. RNAcentral's name for it is "SSU rRNA". It matches the Rfam family "Eukaryotic small subunit ribosomal RNA", at positions 569 to 929 of the family's 1831-position model. The record is from RNAcentral. Lineage: Eukaryota; Fungi; Glomeromycota; Glomeromycetes; Diversisporales; Gigasporaceae.
AGCAGCCGCGGUAAUUCCAGCUCCAAUAGCGUAUAUUAAAGUUGUUGCAGUUAAAAAGCUCGUAGUUGAAUUUCGGGGUUCUACCGUUGGUCAGGCUAUUGUCUGUACUGGUGUGUAGAAUUUCUACCUUCUGGGGAACUAUCAUGUUAUUAAUUUAGCGUGGUAGGAAACCAGGACCUUUACCUUGAAAAAAUUAGGGUGUUCAAAGCAGGCUUAUGUCUGAAUACAUUAGCAUGGAAUAAUAAAAUAGGACGGUGGUUCUGUUUUGUUGGUUUCUGAAUCACCGUAAUGAUUAAUAGGGAUAGUUGGGGGCAUUAGUAUUCAAUUGUCAGAGGUGAAAUUCUUGGAUUUAU